UGAAGAGGAGGAGAUAGGAGAUCUGAUUAAAACCAGAGAGAGACGGGACUAUUGUGGAUCCUCUGGGGAGCCUCAACAACAUCACGAUGCAGAGCAGAGUCUCUCCACAUCAAAACAUCUCAAGAAACACCUACAGAGAUCCACAGGGAAGAAAUCUCACUGCUGCUCUGACUGUGGGAAGAGUUACUCAAGAUCAGAUUCACUUAAACUACACCAGAGAAUUCACACAGGUGAUAAAUCUCACUGCUGCUCUGAUUGUGGGAAAUGUUGCAAAUCUUCAUCAGAACUUAAAAUACAUCUGAGAAAUCACACGGGAGAAAAACCUUACUGCUGCUCUGACUGUGGGAAACAUUUCUCAAGAUCAGAUUCACUAAAACUGCACCAGAGAAUUCACACAGGUGAUAAAUCUCACUGCUGCUCUAAUUGUGGGAAAUGUUGCAAAUCUUCAUCAGAACUUAUUAUACAUCUGAGAAAUCACACAGGAGAGAAACCUUACUGCUGCUCUGACUGCGGGAAAUGUUUCUCAAGAUCAGAUUCACUAAAAGUUCACCUGAGAAUACACACUGGAGGGAAAUCUCACUGCUGCUCUGAAUGUGGGAAGAGAUUCAACUCUUCAGUAGACCUUAAAAUGCAUCAAAGAAUUCACACAGGAGAGAAGCCUUUUGGCUGUGAUCACUGUGGGAAUAGUUUUACUCAGCAAAGCAACCUAAAAUCACACCAGAGAAUACACACAGGAGAGAAACCUUAUGGCUGUGAUCAAUGUGGAAAGCGUUUUUCUCAGCAAAGCAACCUGAAAUCACACCAGAGAAUACACACUGGGGAGAAACCUUAUGGCUGUGAUCAAUGUGGGAAGAGUUUUACUUUGUCAAGCUGCCUGAUAGUGCACCAGAGAACACACACUGGAGAGAAACCUUUUAGCUGUGAUCAAUGUGGGAAAUGUUUUGUUACAUCUGGCAAUCUGAUUGUACACCAGAGAACACACACAGGAGAGAAACCUUAUAGCUGUAAUCAAUGUGGGAAGAGUUUUACUCAGUCAAGCAGCCUAAUAGUACAUGAGAGAACACACUCACAGUAGAGAAGCUUCACCACUGUUCAGAUUGUGGGAAAAGCUUUUCAACAUCAAACACUUUGAAGCUGCACCAGAGAACACACACAGGAGAAAAACCGUAUAGCUGUAAUCAAUGUGUGAAUGGUGUUACUUGGCUAAACAGCCUGGUAUCACACUAGAGAACACACACAGGAGAGAAAUCUCUUAGCUGUGGUGAAUGUGACAAGAGAUGCUCUGAUAAAAGAUCUCUGAUCAAACAUCAGACAAUACAUGAAGGAGAUGUUUCAUGAUAUCAAUUAAAUAAUGUCACAAUAUUGAAUGUUUUAACUAUUAGCCUUGUAUUUUAAUGAUGUCACAAUGCAGAAUGUUUUAACUAUCAUCUAUUGCUAUUAGCCUCACGGGAAAAAUCCAGGCUCUGAAUUGAAAGAGUACUAUUUAUAUGAUUUAACAGAAAGUGACUAACAAAAAAAGUGUUCCGUUACACUUACCACGUUGGCGACCAACUUGAAUCAAAAUGUAGCUAGCUGUUUUCUACACAUUGGCCUCUAACCAGGGAUGUUCCAAUUAUUCCCAGAUUCCGUGUGGUUUUUGAGCUGUUAGUUUUAACAGGACGUGCAACCUCAUCUCCCUCCUCUCGGCACAAUUGAUUUCAACAUGAUAUUGAUGAGUUAUGACCAAUAAGUGUUGCGUUCCUUUUUGUUCAGCGACGCCUACAUUUAAAUGCAUCACUCCCAAAUGUAGCUGACUGUCUUCUGCAGGUUGUCCUCUAACUAGUGAGGUUAAAGAUAUCUUCCAUUUCCAUGUGUUUUUUUUUUAGUUGUUGUUAGUUUUAACAGCAUGUACAACCUGAUUUUCCCCCCUAAUCGAUAUCAGUGAUUUAUUGCUACUUGUCAAAACAACAGCGUUUUUGGUGCUUGUGCAGUUUAUAAGGAGCUUGUUUAAAUAAAUACAAGUAAUACGA
Molecule: long non-coding RNA, 2009 nt
Organism: Oncorhynchus tshawytscha (Chinook salmon)
Lineage: Eukaryota; Metazoa; Chordata; Actinopteri; Salmoniformes; Salmonidae
Exons: 2
Source: RefSeq, a predicted model, not a curated record